ACCUACGGGAGGCAGCAGUGAGGAAUAUUGGUCAAUGGGCUUACGCCUGAACCAGCCAAGUCGCGUGAGGGAAGACUGCCCUAUGGGUUGUAAACCUCUUUUGUCAGGGAGCAACGCCGGCUACGUGUAGCCGGACUGAGAGUACCUGAAGAAAAAGCAUCGGCUAACUCCGUGCCAGCAGCCGCGGUAAUACGGAGGAUGCGAGCGUUAUCCGGAUUUAUUGGGUUUAAAGGGUGCGUAGGCGGAAUGCCAAGUCAGCGGUAAAAUCGCGGGGCUCAACCCCUUUAAGCCGUUGAAACUGGUGA
This 305-nucleotide ribosomal RNA is filed under the name uncultured bacterium. RNAcentral describes it as "bacterial SSU rRNA". It matches the Rfam family "Bacterial small subunit ribosomal RNA", at positions 337 to 639 of the family's 1533-position model. The record is from RNAcentral.